Molecule: ribosomal RNA, 161 nt
Filed under: uncultured bacterium
Lineage: Bacteria
Description: partial 16S ribosomal RNA
Rfam family: Bacterial small subunit ribosomal RNA
Source: RNAcentral
GGAAUCUUCCACAAUGGGCGCAAGCCUGAUGGAGCAACACCGCGUGAGUGAAGAAGGGUUUCGGCUCGUAAAGCUCUGUUGUUAAAGAAGAACACGUAUGAGAGUAACUGUUCAUACGUUGACGGUAUUUAACCAGAAAGUCACGGCUAACCACGUGCCAG